Molecule: non-coding RNA, 148 nt
Filed under: Pan paniscus (pygmy chimpanzee)
Lineage: Eukaryota; Metazoa; Chordata; Mammalia; Primates; Hominidae
Also listed under: 1 other name
Source: Rfam by way of RNAcentral
GCCGGGCGUGGUGGCGGGCGCCUGUAGUCCCAGCUACUCGGGAGGCUGAGACAGGAGAAUCGCUUGAAUCCGGGAGGCGGAGCUUACAGUGAGCCGAGAUCGCGCCACUGCACUCCAGCCUGGGUGAUAGAGUGAGACUCUGUCUCAG